This is a small nuclear RNA of Ochotona curzoniae (black-lipped pika), 106 nucleotides long. NCBI's taxonomy places the organism in Eukaryota, Metazoa, Chordata, Mammalia, Lagomorpha, Ochotonidae. The record is from RefSeq and is a predicted model, not a curated record.
GUGCUCGCUUUGGCAGCACAUAUACUAAAAUUGGAACAAUACAGAGAUUAGCAUGGCCCGUGUGCAAGGAUGACACACAAAACGAUAAGUAAAAAUUAAAAACUAA